UACAGAGGGUGCGAGCGUUAAUCGGAUUUACUGGGCGUAAGGCGUGCGUAGGCGGCUUCUUAAGUCGGAUGUGAAAUCCCUGAGCUUAACUUAGGAAUUGCAUUCGAUACUGGGAAGCUAGAGUAUGGGAGAGGAUGGUAGAAUUCCAGGUGUAGCGGUGAAAUGCGUAGAGAUCUGGAGGAAUACCGAUGGCGAAGGCAGCCAUCUGGCCUAAUACUGACGCUGAGGAGCGAAAGCUAGGGGAGCAAACAGG
RNAcentral lists this unclassified non-coding RNA (253 nucleotides) under uncultured Moraxellaceae bacterium. Its description in RNAcentral is "contains 16S-23S intergenic spacer region". It matches the Rfam family "Bacterial small subunit ribosomal RNA", at positions 524 to 776 of the family's 1533-position model. The record is from RNAcentral. Lineage: Bacteria; Pseudomonadati; Pseudomonadota; Gammaproteobacteria; Moraxellales; Moraxellaceae.